AUAGGACCCUGUCCUCCUAUUUUCAGUUGGUUUUGGCAGCGCGAGGACUAGGGUAAUGAUUAAUAGGGAUAGUUGGGGGCAUUAAUAUUUAAUUGUCAGAGGUGAAAUUCUUGGAUUUAUGAAAGAUUAACUUCUGCGAAAGCAUCUGCCAAGGAUGUUUUCAUUAAUCAAGAACGAAAGUUAGGGGAUCGAAGACGAUCAGAUACCGUCGUAGUCUUAACCAUAAACGAUGCCGACCAGCGAUUAGGAGACGUUGAAUACAAAACACCACCAUCGGCGCGGUCGUCCUUGGCGCGUUCG
This 300-nucleotide ribosomal RNA is filed under the name Acanthamoeba genotype T4. Its description in RNAcentral is "SSU rRNA". It matches the Rfam family "Eukaryotic small subunit ribosomal RNA", at positions 809 to 1092 of the family's 1831-position model. Lineage: Eukaryota; Discosea; Longamoebia; Acanthamoebidae. The record is from RNAcentral.